CUUGGAUGGGAACUUUUAAUCUCUCUUGAGUAGCAUUAAAACCCUCACUGUUGAUUUUUCAUGAGAAGAUUUUUCAGUUUUAAAGCUUUUAUUUUGGAAGUUCUAUCCUUUUUUGCAGGGUGCGUUCUCUCUUACAAAUACAUUUUUUUAACAUCAUUGUGUUGAAAAAAAAAAACAAACCAGCACCUUUAAAGCCCACCUACUAAAUAACUUAAAAAUUUUGUGCUGGGCCACACAGUGAGCUAAUCUCAGAUAUGAGGUAAAUGACUUUCUCUUGUAUGUCAAAUUUUAUAUUCAUACAUCAUUCUUGCCUGCAUGCACUGGGUAAUAUUUGAUUUCCUUGAACUUUAAAUGGCGAGUGUUAACCUUGAAAUGACCUCAAAUCAGCAAUACACACUUGUUUUAUCAAAUAAGUGAGGAAACUAUUCAAGCAACUAUUCAAUUAAAUUAAAUUCUGACAACCUCAGAGCAGACAAAGUUUGUCCCCAUGUUGGGAACCACCACAGUUAUUUGGAUACUUGGAAUAUUAAGAUUAUGCAGGGAAUAAUAAAGCAGUAUUGUAUCUGUAAAUCUUUAGUUCCAGUGUUUGUACUUUUGGAUACUCUGCCUGUUUAGGAAUACUUAACCCUCGAUCUUUAAAAACACACAUGUCCACACACAUCAAACAGAAAUGGCCGUCACAGUCUGGGCUUUUGUGCAAUAAAGAGAGAGAGGGGGAACAGGAAGGAAAUUUAUGAUUUAUGAUUCAAUAGAAAAGACAGGGGAAAUUUAUGGUAGAAAGGGACUGCUGGAGGAGAAAGAGAGAGAAAGGGUGUGGUGAUCAUGUAACAACAGAGCGGAGAAGAGGGAAGUAAAAGUUGAGUACCUUUUUGUGUGUGUAACUGAAGAGUCAGUGUUAGAAUAACUGGAGUGUUUUUUUUCACUGUGUACUCCUUUGACAAUUUAUUUGGGUGAUCUCCAAAAUAAGACAUUUCACAUCCAACCAUUUUUCCUUGGACACCCUUGGUUCCCUUACAACAGAGAGAAAACCACAUUUGAAAUUCCGAAUCCAAAUAUUUGACCUGUUCAGGUUUCAAAAUGCAUUUCUCAUGGGCGUUUGUGAGGUUUAGGUUCUCAGGGUUACUUGGGGUGGUCAUGACCAUCCCUCAGAUCUAAAUGGCCAGCCCUGAGGCCACCCUGAAACCCUAUACCAUGUUUGUCUAUUUGCCGUAUCAGAGGAAACACAUAUUGAGAUCAGCCAUUGUGGUUGUGUCUAACAAGAUGAUGGUCACUGCUUUACAUUUCAGAGUGGAACAUUUUUCUUUGUUGGCACUUUAAACAGUGACUUUAGACACACUUCCUUUUUAAGGAUUUAAGUUCAGCAGAUUUAGAUAUUGUUGCAUUGUUAAAUUAUAUUUUUGAGUUGAAAUGUUUAAAAUUAAGACAUAUUUUGGAGUCUUUUCUAUAUUAGAAACUAAAGUAAAUGUGAUUCCUGCAUGGAGAUAACCCUCCUAGAUUUGGGGCAAGCCCCUAAUAUUAACCACAACUGUCCCUCCUCUUAAAAGUCAGCUCCUGUUUGGCCAACCUGGCCAAAAGCGUCUGUCUCCUGAUUAUUGAAGACACUUAAGGACACAUCUGGUGAUCUUGAGCCCUUGUUUCAUGACCCCAUCUCCUCCACAGUAUUCAAUAUAAAUGUUGUAUCCAGCUAAAACAAAGCAAAAUAUGGAACACACAGAAAGUCUGCUGCAGCCACUACUUUGAGUGAUAUGGAGGAAAGUUCAAGACCAAGCAGUCCAGGAUGGUCAGUGUUUUCAAAUGUAGUCAACUCUCAGUGAUAUUUUCAGUAUUCCUUUCAGCUUCCUCUGCUGUUAAUGGAAUUUUUACCUUAGAAAAGACCCCUUAAAAAAGAAAGUGUUGUGCGAGGAAAUGAAAUAAAAUUACUCCUAAAUUAUAUCAAAUGCAUAUUUUCCCCUUCUUUGUUGCUACUUUGACACAGAUGCCAUUUAAUAGCUGUUGACAAAAAACUUACAAACCUUUGACUUUUACAAAACUGACUUACUAACAAGCCCAUGCACAAGUUAUCAGUAUAGCUGUGACUGAGUUUAAAUUCAUAAUCAUCAAAUAUGAAGAAUAAAAAAGCCAGACAUUAUGGGUCUAUAGGGUUCUGCAUUUCUUACACAAGAACAAAAAACUCACCGCUGUGCUUUUAAGCAAAAAUUCCCGUUCUGCUGUAAAUAGUAUGUCCCUGAUCCCAGCUACAUUAAUUUAGAUUUACAGCACAAUAAAAAGUUUUGACACUGCACUGCUGCCACAAAAUGAUGGUAUGACCUACCACUGCCCUCCAUUGUAAAUUUAAGGUAAUGCAACCUCUUUACUGCUGACCAAGGGAAUCUCCUCUUUUAAGCAAACAUGUCAUAUACAAUCAUAUGAUAAUAAAUCUAGCAAACAUUAGCCAUGACGAAUGUUAAAGUUUUGCAUUUCUUUUGGAAAUUAAGGUCCAAGAGUCUGGAGCAAGAGAGGAAAGGCACAGAAUCCAAGUUGCUUGUAAAGUUUCUCCAGUCAGUGUUGGUUUUGGGAGCCAUGUCAUCUGCUGGUGUUGGUCCACUGUGUUUUAUCAGCUCAAAGGUCAGCGCAGCCAUCUACCAGGGAGUUUUAGAGCACUUUAUGUUUCCCUCUGCUCACCAGCUUUAUGGAGAUACUGAUUUCUGCCAAAAGUAUCAAUACCUGGUUUAAGGACCAUGGCUUCCCUGCGAUUCAUUGGCCAACAGAUUCACCUGAUCUGAACUCCAUAGAGAAUCAAUGGGUGACAGCGAAGAGGAAGAUGUGAGACACCGGACCAGAAGAGG
Molecule: long non-coding RNA, 2825 nt
Filed under: Xyrichtys novacula (pearly razorfish)
Lineage: Eukaryota; Metazoa; Chordata; Actinopteri; Labriformes; Labridae
Source: RNAcentral